GGUCAAGUGAAGAAGCGCAUACGGUGGAUGCCUUGGCAGUCAGAGGCGAUGAAAGACGUGGUAGCCUGCGAAAAGCUUCGGGGAGUCGGCAAACAGACUGUGAUCCGGAGAUGUCUGAAUGGGGGAACCCAGCCAUCAUAAGAUGGUUAUCUUGUACUGAAUACAUAGGUGCAAGAGGCGAACCAGGGGAACUGAAACAUCUAAGUACCCUGAGGAAAAGAAAUCAACCGAGAUUCCCUUAGUAGUGGCGAGCGAACGGGGACCAGCCCUUAAGUUGUAUUGAGAUUAGCGGAACGUUCUGGAAAGGACGGCCAUAGUGGGUGAUAGCCCUGUACGCGAAAAUCCCUUUGCAAUGAAAUCGAGUAGGACGGGGCACGAGAAACCUUGUCUGAAUAUGGGGGGACCAUCCUCCAAGGCUAAAUACUACUGACUGACCGAUAGUGAACCAGUACCGUGAGGGAAAGGCGAAAAGAACCGCGGAGAGCGGAGUGAAAUAGAUCCUGAAACCGUAUGCGUACAAGCAGUGGGAGCCCACUUGUUGGGUGACUGCGUACCUUUUGUAUAAUGGGUCAGCGACUUAUUUUCAGUGGCGAGCUUAACCGAAUAGGGGAGGCGUAGCGAAAGCGAGUCUUAAUAGGGCGUCUAGUCGCUGGGAAUAGACCCGAAACCGGGCGAUCUAUCCAUGGGCAGGUUGAAGGUUGGGUAACACUAACUGGAGGACCGAACCGACUACCGUUGAAAAGUUAGCGGAUGACCUGUGGAUCGGAGUGAAAGGCUAAUCAAGCUCGGAGAUAGCUGGUUCUCCUCGAAAGCUAUUUAGGUAGCGCCUCAUGUAUCACUGUAGGGGGUAGAGCACUGUUUCGGCUAGGGGGUCAUCCCGACUUACCAAACCGAUGCAAACUCCGAAUACCUACAAGUGCCGAGCAUGGGAGACACACGGCGGGUGCUAACGUCCGUCGUGAAAAGGGAAACAACCCAGACCGUCAGCUAAGGUCCCAAAGUCAUGGUUAAGUGGGAAACGAUGUGGGAAGGCUUAGACAGCUAGGAGGUUGGCUUAGAAGCAGCCACCCUUUAAAGAAAGCGUAAUAGCUCACUAGUCGAGUCGGCCUGCGCGGAAGAUGUAACGGGGCUCAAACCAUGCACCGAAGCUACGGGUAUCAUCUUUUGAUGAUGCGGUAGAGGAGCGUUCUGUAAGCCUGUGAAGGUGAGUUGAGAAGCUUGCUGGAGGUAUCAGAAGUGCGAAUGCUGACAUGAGUAACGACAAUGGGUGUGAAAAACACCCACGCCGAAAGACCAAGGUUUCCUGCGCAACGUUAAUCGACGCAGGGUUAGUCGGUCCCUAAGGCGAGGCUGAAAAGCGUAGUCGAUGGAAAACAGGUUAAUAUUCCUGUACUUCUGGUUAUUGCGAUGGAGGGACGGAGAAGGCUAGGCCAGCCUGGCGUUGGUUGUCCAGGUUUAAGGUGGUAGGCUGAGAUCUUAGGUAAAUCCGGGAUCUUAAGGCCGAGAGCUGAUGACGAGUGUUCUUUUAGAACACGAAGUGGUUGAUGCCAUGCUUCCAAGAAAAGCUUCUAAGCUUCAGGUAACCAGGAACCGUACCCCAAACCGACACAGGUGGUUGGGUAGAGAAUACCAAGGCGCUUGAGAGAACUCGGGUGAAGGAACUAGGCAAAAUGGCACCGUAACUUCGGGAGAAGGUGCGCCGGUGGAGGUGAAGCAUUUACUGCGUAAGCCCCUGCCGGUCGAAGAUACCAGGCCGCUGCGACUGUUUAUUAAAAACACAGCACUCUGCAAACACGAAAGUGGACGUAUAGGGUGUGACGCCUGCCCGGUGCCGGAAGGUUAAUUGAUGGGGUUAGCGCAAGCGAAGCUCUUGAUCGAAGCCCCGGUAAACGGCGGCCGUAACUAUAACGGUCCUAAGGUAGCGAAAUUCCUUGUCGGGUAAGUUCCGACCUGCACGAAUGGCGUAACGAUGGCGGCGCUGUCUCCACCCGAGACUCAGUGAAAUUGAAAUCGCUGUGAAGAUGCAGUGUAUCCGCGGCUAGACGGAAAGACCCCGUGAACCUUUACUAUAGCUUUGCACUGGACUUUGAAUUUGCUUGUGUAGGAUAGGUGGGAGGCUUUGAAGCGUGGACGCCAGUCUGCGUGGAGCCAACCUUGAAAUACCACCCUGGCAACUUUGAGGUUCUAACUCAGGUCCGUUAUCCGGAUCGAGGACAGUGUAUGGUGGGUAGUUUGACUGGGGCGGUCUCCUCCUAAAGAGUAACGGAGGAGUACGAAGGUGCGCUCAGACCGGUCGGAAAUCGGUCGUAGAGUAUAAAGGCAAAAGCGCGCUUGACUGCGAGACAGACACGUCGAGCAGGUACGAAAGUAGGUCUUAGUGAUCCGGUGGUUCUGUAUGGAAGGGCCAUCGCUCAACGGAUAAAAGGUACUCCGGGGAUAACAGGCUGAUACCGCCCAAGAGUUCAUAUCGACGGCGGUGUUUGGCACCUCGAUGUCGGCUCAUCACAUCCUGGGGCUGAAGCCGGUCCCAAGGGUAUGGCUGUUCGCCAUUUAAAGUGGUACGCGAGCUGGGUUUAGAACGUCGUGAGACAGUUCGGUCCCUAUCUGCCGUGGACGUUUGAGAUUUGAGAGGGGCUGCUCCUAGUACGAGAGGACCGGAGUGGACGAACCUCUGGUGUUCCGGUUGUCACGCCAGUGGCAUUGCCGGGUAGCUAUGUUCGGAAAAGAUAACCGCUGAAAGCAUCUAAGCGGGAAACUUGCCUCAAGAUGAGAUCUCACUGGAACCUUGAGUUCCCUAAAGGGCCGUCGAAGACUACGACGUUGAUAGGUUGGGUGUGUAAGCGCUGUGAGGCGUUGAGCUAACCAAUACUAAUUGCCCGUGAGGCUUGACCAU
Molecule: ribosomal RNA, 2893 nt
Filed under: Pseudomonas syringae
Lineage: Bacteria; Pseudomonadati; Pseudomonadota; Gammaproteobacteria; Pseudomonadales; Pseudomonadaceae
Also listed under: 5 other names
Description: 23S ribosomal RNA
Rfam family: Bacterial large subunit ribosomal RNA
Source: RNAcentral